CGCGACGAUACUAAAAAAGGUUUCACUCCAAACAGAAAAGUGGGAAAGAAACGUGAAACAAUUUCCCCGAU
Aricia agestis (brown argus) is the source of this 71-nucleotide long non-coding RNA. RefSeq lists it as uncharacterized. Lineage: Eukaryota; Metazoa; Arthropoda; Insecta; Lepidoptera; Lycaenidae. The transcript has 3 exons. The record is from RefSeq and is a predicted model, not a curated record.